This 460-nucleotide ribosomal RNA is filed under the name uncultured bacterium. RNAcentral describes it as "partial 16S ribosomal RNA". It matches the Rfam family "Bacterial small subunit ribosomal RNA", at positions 338 to 795 of the family's 1533-position model. The record is from RNAcentral.
CCUACGGGUGGCAGCAGUGAGGAAUAUUGGUCAAUGGACGAGAGUCUGAACCAGCCAAGUAGCGUGAAGGAUGACUGCCCUAUGGGUUGUAAACUUCUUUUAUAUGGGAAUAAAAUGUUCCACGUGUGGGAUUUUGUAUGUACCAUAUGAAUAAGGAUCGGCUAACUCCGUGCCAGCAGCCGCGGUAAUACGGAGGAUCCGAGCGUUAUCCGGAUUUAUUGGGUUUAAAGGGAGCGUAGGUGGAUUGUUAAGUCAGUUGUGAAAGUUUGCGGCUCAACCGGAAAAUUGCAGUUGAAACUGGCAGUCUUGAGUACAGUAGAGGUGGGCGGAAUGCGUGGUGUAGCGGUGAAAUGCUUAGAUAUCACGAAGAACUCCGAUUGCGAAGGCAGUUCACUGGACUGCAACUGACACUGAGGCUCGAAAGUGUGGGUAUCAAACAGGAUUAGAUACCCGGGUAGUC